Molecule: ribosomal RNA, 957 nt
Filed under: Listeria monocytogenes
Lineage: Bacteria; Bacillati; Bacillota; Bacilli; Caryophanales; Listeriaceae
Description: partial 23S ribosomal RNA
Rfam family: Bacterial large subunit ribosomal RNA
Source: RNAcentral
GGCGGCCGUAACUAUAACGGUCCUAAGGUAGCGAAAUUCCUUGUCGGGUAAGUUCCGACCCGCACGAAAGGCGCAACGAUCUGGGCACUGUCUCAACGAGAGACUCGGUGAAAUUAUAGUACCUGUGAAGAUGCAGGUUACCCGCGACAGGACGGAAAGACCCCGUGGAGCUUUACUGCAACCUGAUAUGGAAUGUUUGUACCGCUUGUACAGGAUAGGUAGGAGCCGAAGAGACGUGUGCGCUAGCAUACGAGGAGGCAAUGGUGGGAUACUACCCUGGCUGUAUGACCAUUCUAACCCGCCACGCUUAGCGCGUGGGGAGACAGUGUCAGGUGGGCAGUUUGACUGGGGCGGUCGCCUCCUAAAGAGUAACGGAGGCGCCCAAAGGUUCCCUCAGAAUGGAUGGAAAUCAUUCGCAGAGUGUAAAGGCACAAGGGAGCUUGACUGCGAGACUGACAAGUCGAGCAGGGACGAAAGUCGGGCUUAGUGAUCCGGUGGUUCCGCAUGGAAGGGCCAUCGCUCAACGGAUAAAAGCUACCCCGGGGAUAACAGGCUUAUCUCCCCCAAGAGUCCACAUCGACGGGGAGGUUUGGCACCUCGAUGUCGGCUCGUCGCAUCCUGGGGCUGUAGUCGGUCCCAAGGGUUGGGCUGUUCGCCCAUUAAAGCGGCACGCGAGCUGGGUUCAGAACGUCGUGAGACAGUUCGGUCCCUAUCCGUCGCGGGCGCAGGAAAUUUGAGAGGAGCUGUCCUUAGUACGAGAGGACCGGGAUGGACACACCGCUGGUGUACCAGUUGUUCCGCCAGGAGCAUCGCUGGGUAGCUAUGUGUGGCAGGGAUAAACGCUGAAAGCAUCUAAGCGUGAAGCCCCCCUCAAGAUGAGAUUUCCCAUUUCUUCGGAAAGUAAGAUCCCUGAAAGAUGAUCAGGUAGAUAGGUUUGGAGUGGAAGUGUAGCGAUAC